RNAcentral lists this ribosomal RNA (253 nucleotides) under uncultured bacterium. RNAcentral describes it as "partial 16S ribosomal RNA". It matches the Rfam family "Bacterial small subunit ribosomal RNA", at positions 524 to 776 of the family's 1533-position model. The record is from RNAcentral.
UACGUAGGGGGCAAGCGUUGUUCGGAUUCAUUGGGCGUAAAGGGUGCGUAGGUGGCGGGGCAAGUCUGGUGUGAAAUCCCGGGGCUCAACCCUGGAACUGCACUGGAUACUGCUUUGCUAGAGUACUGGAGAGGGAACUGGAAUUUACGGUGUAGCAGUGAAAUGCGUAGAUAUCGUAAGGAAGACCAGUGGCGAAGGCGAGUUCCUGGACAGUUACUGACACUGAGGCACGAAGGCCAGGGGAGCAAACGGG